RNAcentral lists this ribosomal RNA (253 nucleotides) under uncultured bacterium. RNAcentral describes it as "partial 16S ribosomal RNA". It matches the Rfam family "Bacterial small subunit ribosomal RNA", at positions 524 to 776 of the family's 1533-position model. The record is from RNAcentral.
UACGAAGGGGGCUAGCGUUGUUCGGAAUUACUGGGCGUAAAGCGCGUGUAGGCGGGUCUUUAAGUCAGGGGGGAAAUGCCAAGGCUCAACCUUGGAACUGCCUUUGAUACUGGAGAUCUUGAGUUCGGGAGAGGUGAGUGGAAUUGCGAGUGUAGAGGUGAAAUUCGUAGAUAUUCGCAAGAACACCAGUGGCGAAGGCGGCUCACUGGCCCGGUACUGACGCUGAGGUGCGAAAGCGUGGGGAGCAAACAGG